This 279-nucleotide ribosomal RNA is filed under the name uncultured bacterium. RNAcentral describes it as "partial 16S ribosomal RNA". It matches the Rfam family "Bacterial small subunit ribosomal RNA", at positions 506 to 784 of the family's 1533-position model. The record is from RNAcentral.
UGCCAGCCGCCGCGGUAAUACGAAGGGGGCUAGCGUUGUUCGGAAUCACUGGGCGUAAAGCGCACGUAGGCGGACUGAUCAGUUGGGGGUGAAAUCCCAGGGCUCAACCCUGGAACUGCCUCCAAAACUAUCAGUCUAGAGUUCGAGAGAGGUGAGUGGAAUUCCGAGUGUAGAGGUGAAAUUCGUAGAUAUUCGGAGGAACACCAGUGGCGAAGGCGGCUCACUGGCUCGAUACUGACGCUGAGAUGCGAAAGCGUGGGGAGCAAACAGGAUUAGAUA